Molecule: long non-coding RNA, 1863 nt
Organism: Passer domesticus (house sparrow)
Lineage: Eukaryota; Metazoa; Chordata; Aves; Passeriformes; Passeridae
Exons: 7
Source: RefSeq, a predicted model, not a curated record
GAAAGUUUAGUGCAGCAAGAUGUUUGUUCUGAAGCUACUGGAAGAUGAAUAAUGGUGCUAAUAACAAUAACAUAUUUAAAUCUGAAAGUGCAUUUGUUCAUUUGUAUUCUUAGAUCUCUGAUCAUUGCUUCUCCAGAGCUUCUUGCUCCGUAUUUUUACUUAAUGGAACUGUAUUCCUCAGAAAAGCUGCUCUGAAGGCUGUUUAUUUAAUAAGUGAGUUGCCUGACUGAGUCAGAGCUGAGAGAGAAAAGGAGAGAGAAAACACCAGCCAGCUGAAAAGCCAGGAGAAAGCAGCAGAGAAAGAUGGUUUUGUAACCCAUAUCUCCCUUAAGGCUAUUCAUGCAAUAUUGUUUAUUUCACGUCUGCAAAACUGGGUCUCCCUUUUUUGGAAUGCCAUUUCUCCUGAUUUCAAGAAAGUCAAUAUCAGUAUUUAAACAUCAGCCCCCCUGGUCAAAAUAAGUGGUCAUUCCAAGAAAACUUAUUAAUAUGAGGAGGAUUUCAGAGCCCCUGAUUCUCUGGGUCAAUGUCUUUCAUCAAGAUGAGGAGAUAAGAAGACAAAAGAACCCUGAUCCUAAACAAAAGAAAAUCCGAUGUAGACUUGGAUGGAAUAGAAUAUAUUCUAUUUGGACUUGGAUUGAAUUAGAGCUGAUGAUAGGCAUUUUUCUGCAAAAUAUCAGGAGAAAGAGGAGGAGGCAGAAGAGGAGGAGGAAGAGGAGGAGGUGACACCUACAUUUAUAGAGGGUGCAGAAUGAUGUGCAAGACUUUUGAAAGCAGAAGGCUGGGGGGUUUCUGUGGGAGUAAGAAGGAUUUACUGCUGUUGCACCAGCUAGAAUGGACACAGGGCUGAUUCAGCUGCCUACCUACAUCUAAUGGCACUGCAGGAAUUUGACUGCACUGCAGCCUUUUUUUCAUUUAGAGGUACCAUUUCAUCUCAAAUGAAGAAAUGAAGAAUGAAAUCUUUACACCACUGCCUAAAGAGGGCCUACAGGAAAGAUGAGAGGGACUUUUUACAAGGGCAUGGAUGGAUAGGACAAGUCCUGAUGGAUGAAUGGUCCUGGGAAGACAAAAGAGAGCAAGUUUGGAACACACCAAGAACCAUAUCUGGAUAAUUCCCUGCAACUGGAAAUCAUUGAGACAAAUUCUAUGACUACAUCUAAUCAGAAACUCAAUAAUUUUAUGGCUAUUAGCACCACAAACUAAAUCUGCAAGGAAUGGCAAUCAAAUAUCACACUUCAAGGCAUAAACUAAUUGUCCAGCAGGUCAGGAAAUUAUGUGUUGCUCCUAUGUUGAACAAAUGCUUAGAUGGCCUCUGAGUUUUCAUCUUUUUUUCCUGAAAAUAAAAGGCAAAAACCGAGAACUGAAUGAACACACAUUGUUGGAUGGAGGAAAGAAGAAAUACAGCUUUGUAAGGGAUGAGAUAAAUGGUGUAUUAAUGUAAAUCUCCUUGUUCUGGAUAAGCCCACUAUUUAAUACAUAACACCUUUCCACUCUAUGAUAUUCUUAAAUAACUUAAAUUAGAGCUGUGCCCGAGAGAAAUUAAAAGAGAUAUGAAGAAUCAAGGAGUAUUAUUUCAGGAUUGCUGGCAGAAAUUUUCCUAUACGAGAGACUCUUUUUUCUAUUCAUUUCCAUUGGUGGGUAAAAUCAGAGAUGAUGAUGUGACCCCAGCUUUCCAGGGUGAAGCUGUUAUGACAAUUAAUGGGGAAAAGAGAAGGAUAUGUCAGGACAGAUCCACAUCUCUAUACAGGAACAUAUAUUGGGGGCUGUAUCCAAUUUUUCUUUCUUAAAAGGCACAGAAAGAAGAAAAUAAAGGAGAAAGCAUCUUGCCUUAACAUUAGGACGCCUCUAUUUCAUUGUUUGCCUACA